RNAcentral lists this long non-coding RNA (5827 nucleotides) under Triticum aestivum (bread wheat). Its description in RNAcentral is "long non-coding RNA (TAES_LNC001286)". Lineage: Eukaryota; Viridiplantae; Streptophyta; Magnoliopsida; Poales; Poaceae. The record is from RNAcentral.
GCCCCAAUCAUGAUCUCUCAAGAGAAAUUAUUAUUCAAAAAAUUUAUGCUCGGUUUUAUCUCGAUAAUCGCUCCAUGCUCGAUUCUUCUUGUACUGGCUCUUUCAUGAUGAAGACUGUUGAAUUCAAAUGGGAUUUAUUGGAAAGAAUUAAAUGCAACUCUGAAGAUUGGGAUCUUGAUGUCUACUACACAACCUUCUUCUUGUAGACGUUGUUGGGCCUCCAAGUGUAGAGGUUUGUAGGACAGUAGCAAAUUUCCCUCAAGUGGAUGACCUAAGGUUUAUCAAUCCGUGGGAGGCGUAGGAUGAAGAUGGUCUCUCUCAAACAACCCUGCAACCAAAUAGCAAAGAGUCUCUUGUGUCCCCAACACACCCAAUACAAUGGUAAAUUGCAUUGGUGCACUAGUUCGGUGAAGAGAUGGUGAUACAAGUGCAACAUGGAUGAUAGAUAUAGGUUUUUGUAAUCUGAAAAUAUAAAACCAGAAAGGUAACUAAUGAUAAAAGUGAAAAAAAUAGUAUUGCAAUGCAUUGAAACAAGGCCUAUGGUUCAUACUUUCACUAGUGCAAGUUCUCUCAACAAUAAUAACAUAAUUGGAUCAUGUAACUAUCCCUCAACAUGCAACAAAGAGUCACUCCAAAGUCACUAGCGGAGAACAAACGAAGAGAUUAUUGUAGGGUACGAAACCACCUCAAAGUUAUCCUUUCUGAUCGAUCUAUUCAAGAGUCUGUAGUAAAAUAACACAAAGCUAUUCUUUCCAUUCGAUCUAUCCUAGAGUUCGUACUAGAAUAACACCUUAAGACACAAAUCAACCAAAACCCUAAUGCUGCCUAGAUACUCCAAUGUCACCUCAAGUAUCCGUGGGUAUGAUUAUACGAUAUGCAUCACACAAUCUCAGAUUCAUCUAUUCAACUAACACAAAGAACUUCAAAGAGUGCCCCAAAGUUUCUACCAGAGAGUCAAGACGAAAACGUGUGCCAACCCCUAUGCAUAAGUUCACGAGGUCACGGAACUCGCAAGUUGAUCACCAAAACAUACAUCAAGUGGAUCACGUGAUAUCCCAUUGUCACCACAGAUAAGCACAUGCAAGACAUACAUCAAGUGUUCUUAAAUCCUUAAAGACUCAAUCCGAUAAGAUAACUUCAAAGGGAAAACUCAAUUCAUCACAAGAGAGUAGAGGGGGAGAAACAUCAUAAGAUCCAACUAUAAUAGCAAAGCUCGUGAUACAUCAAGAUCGUGCCGAAUCAAGAACACGAGAGAGAGAGAGAGAGAGAUCAAACACAUAGCUACUGGUACAUACCCUCAGCCCCUAGGGAGAACUACUCCCUCAUCGUCAUGGAGAGCGUCGGGAUGAUGAACAUGGCCACCAGAGAGGGAUUCCCCCCUCUGGCAGGGUGCCGGGACGGGUCUAGAUUGGUUUUUGGUGGCUAGAGAGGCUUGCGGCGGCGGAACUCCCGAUCUAGGUUAUUUUCUGGAGGUUUCUGUAUUUAUAGGAAUUUUUGGCGUAGGUCUCACACCAAGAAGGUGCCCGAGUCAUCCACGAGGUAGGCCCACGCGCCCGGGGGCCCACCCUCGUGGAUGGCCCAGGACUCUUUUGGCCCAACUCUUUUACUCCGGGGUCUUCUUUUGGUCCAUAAAAAACGUUAAAAAUUGGCACAUCAAUUGGACUCCGUUUGGUAUUCCUUUUCUGUAAAACUCAAAAACAAGGAAAAAACAGAAACUGGCACUGGGCUCUAGGUUAAUAGGUUAGUCCCAAAAAUCAUAUAAAAUAGCAUAUAAUGCAUAUAAAACAUCCAAGGUUGAUAAUAUAAUAGCAUGGAACAAUAAAAAAUUAUAGAUACGUUGGAGACGUAUCAAGCAUCCCCAAGCUUAAUUCCUGCUCGUCCUCGAGUAGGUAAAUGAUAAAAAUAGAAUUUUUGAUGUGGAAUGCUACCUAACAUAUUUAUCAAUGUAAUUAUCUUAUCGUGGCAAGAAUAUUCAGAUCCAUAAGAUGCAAGAAAAAAGUUUAAUAUUGACAUAAAAAUAAUAAUACUCCAAUCAUACUAACUAAGCAAUCAUGUCUUCUCAAAAUAACAUGGCAAAAGAAAGUUCAUCCCUACAAAAUCAUAUAGUUUGGUCAUGCUCCAUUUUCGACACACAAGAAUGCUCUCAUCAUGCACAACUCCGAUGACAAGCCAAGCAAUUGUUUCAUACUUUAGUAAUCUCAAACUUUUUUCAACUCUCACGCAAUACAUGAGCGUGAGCCAUGGAUAUAGCACUAUGGGUGGAAUAUAAUAUGAUGAUGGGGGUUACGUGGAGAAGACAAAAAGGAGAAAGUCUCACAUUGACGCGGCUAAUCAACGGGCUAGGGAGAUGCCCAUCAAUUGAUGUCAAUGCAAGGAGUAGGGAUUGCCAUGCAACGGAUGCACUAGAGCUAUAAAUGUAUGAAAGCUCAACAAAAGAAACUAAGUGGGUGUGCAUCCAACUUGCUUGCUCACGAAGACCUAGGGCAUUUGAGGAAGCCCGCCGUUGGAAUAUACAAGCCAAGUUCUAUAAUGAAAAAUUCCCACUAGUAUAUGAAAGUGAAAAAACAAGAGACUCUCUAUCAUGAAGAUCAUGGUGCUACUUUGAAGCACAAGUGUGGAAAAAGGAUAGUAGCAUUGUCCCUUUUUUGCCUUUCUUUUUUGGCCUUUCCUUUUUAUUUGGCCUUUCUUUUUUUAUUUUUUCGGGACAAUGCUCUAUUAAUGAUGAUCAUCACACUUCUAUUUAUUUACAACUCAAAGAUUACAACUCGGUACUAGAACAAAGUAUGACUCUAUAUGAAUGCCUCCGGCGGUGUACCGGGAUGGGCAAUGAAUCAAGAGUGACAUGUAUGAUAAAUUAUGCAUGGUGGCUUGGCCACAAAUAUGAUGUCAACUACAUGAUCAUGCAAGGCAAUAUGACAAUGAUGAUGUGUGUCAUGAUGAACGGAACGGUGAAAGUUGCAUGGCAAUAUAUCUUGGAAUGGCUAUGGAAAUGCCAUAAUAGGUAGGUAUGGUGGUUGUUUUGAGGAAGAUAUAAGGAGGUUUAUGUGUGACGGAGUGUAUCAUAUCACGGGGUUUGGAUGCAACGGCAAAGUUUGCACCAAUUCUCGAGGUGAUAAAGGGCACUGCACGGUACCGAAGAGGCUAGCAAUGAUGGAAGGGUGAGAGCGCGUAUAAUCCAUGGACUCAACAUUAGUCAUAAAGAACUCACAUACUUAUUGCAAAAAUCUACAAGUCAUCAAAAACCAAGCACUGCGCGCAUGCUCCUAGGGGUAUAGAUUGGUAGGAAAAGUCCAUCGCUCGUCCCCGACCGCCACUCAUAAGGAAGGCAAUCAAAGAAACACCUCAUGCUUCAAAUUUGUCACACAACGGUUACCAUACGUGCAUGCUACGGGACUUGCAAACCUCAACACAAGUAUUUCUCAAAUUCACAAUUACUCAACUAGCAUGACUCUAAUAUCACCAUCUUUAUAUCUCAAAACAAUUAUCAAGUAUCAAACUUCUCAUAGUAUUAAAUGCACUUUAUAUGAAAGUUUUUAAUAUAUCCCUCUUGGAUGCCCAUCAUAUUAGGACUAAAUUCAUAACCAAAGCAAAAUACCAUGAUGUUUAGAGACUCUCAAAAUGAUAUAAGUGAAGCAUGAGAGUUCAUCUAUUUCUUCAAAAUAAAACCACCGCUGUGCUGUAAAAAGAUAUAAGUGAAGCACUAGAGCAAAUGACAAACUGCUCCGAAAGAUAUAAGUGAAGAUCAAUGAGUAGUCGAAUAAUUAUACAACUAUGUGAAGGCUCUCUAACAUUUAAUAAUUUAUGAUCUUGGUAUUUUAUUCAAACAGCAAGCAAAACAAAAUAAAAUAAAAUGACGCUCCAAGCAAAACACAUAUCAUGUGGUGAAUAAAAAUAUAGCCUCAAGUAAAGUUACCGAUGAACGAAGACGAAAGAGGGGAUGCCAUCCGGGGCAUCCCCAAGCUUAGGCUCUUGGUUGUCCUCGAAUAUUACCUUGUGGUGCCUUGGUCAUCCCCGAGCUUAGGCUCUUUCCACUCCUUAUUCCAUAGUCCAUCGAAUCUUUACCCAAAACUUGAAAACUUCACAACACAAAACUUAACAGAAAACUCAUAAGCUCCGUUAGUAUAAGAAAGCAAAUCACCACUUAGGUACUGUAAUGAACUCAUACUUUAUUUAUAUUGGUGUUAAAACUACUGUAUUCCAACUUCUCUAUGUUUCAUACCCCCUGAUACUAGCCAUAGAUUCAUCAAAAUAAGCAAACAACACACGAAAAACAGAAUCUGUCAAAAACAGAACAUUCUGUAGCAAUCUGUAUCAAACGGAUACUUCUGUAACCCACAAAAUUCUGAAAUAAAUUGGUGGACGUGAGGAAUUUAUCUAUUAAUCAUAUGCAAAAAGAAUCAACCUAAUCGCACCCUCCAGUACAAAAUGGCAGCUAAUCUCGUGAGCGCAAAAGUUUCUGUUUUUUACAGCAAGAUCGCAAAGACUUCACCCAAGUCUUCCCAAAGGUUCUACCUGGCACAAACACUAAUUAAAACAUAAAAACACAUCUAAACAGAGGCUAGAUGAAUUAUUUAUUACUAAACAGGAGCAAAAAGCAAAGGACAAAAAUAAAAUUGGGUUGCCUCCCAACAAGCGCUAUUGUUUAACGCCCCUAGCUAGGCAUGAUGAUUUUAAUGAUGCUCACAUAAAAGAUAAGAAUUGAAACAUAAAGAGAGAAUCAUUAAGAAUAUGACUAGCACAUUUAAGUCUAACCCACUUCCUAUGCAUAGGGAUUUUGUGAGCAAACAAGUUAUGGGAACAAGAAUCAACUUGCAUAGGAAGGUAAAACAAGCAUAGCUUCAAGAUUUUCAACACAUAGAGAGGAAACUUGAUAUUAUUGCAACUCCUACAAGCAUAUAUUCCUCCCUCAUAAUAAAUUUCAGUAGAAUCAUGAAUGAACUCAACAAUAUAACCAUCACAUAAAGCAUUCUUUUCAUGAUCCCCAAGCAUAUAAAUUUUAUUACUCUCCACAUAAGUGAAUUUCUUCUCAUGAAUAAUAGUGGGAGCAAACUCAACAAAAUAAUUACCAUGUGAGGCAUAAUCCAAUUGAAAACUAAAAUCAUGAUGAAAAGUUUCAUGGUUAUCAUUAUUCUUAAUACCAUACAAGUCAUCACAAUAAUCAUCAUAGAUAGCAACUUUGUUCUCAUAAUCCAUUGGAACCUCUUCCGAAAUAGUGGAAUCAUUACUAAAUAAAGUCAUGACCUCUCGAAAUCCACUUUUAUAAUUAUCACAAUAAGAUUCAACAUCCUCCAAAAUAGUGGGAUCAUCACUUCCUAAAGUUGACACUCUUCCAAACCCUCUUUCAUCAAUAUAAUCAUUAUAAAUAGGAGGCAUGCUAUCAUCAUAAUAAAUUUGCUCAUCAAAACUUGGGAGACAAAAAAUAUCAUCUUCAUCAAACAUAGCUUCCCCAAGAUUGUGGCUUUGCAUAUCAUUAGCAUCAUGGGUAUUCAAAGAAUUCAUACUAACAACAUUGCAAUCAUCCCAUCAUCCAAAUAUUUAGUGACAAACAUUUUAAUACAUUCUUCUUCUAAUAUUUUGGCACAAUUAUCGGAAUCCUUAUUUUCAUGAAAGACAUUAAAAAGAUGAAGCAUAUGAGGUACCCUCAAUUCCAAUUUUUUUUGUAGUUUUCUUUUAUAGACUAAACUAGUGAUAAAACAAGAAAGUAAAGAUUCGAUUGCAAGAUCUAAAGAUAUACCUUCAAGCGCUAACCUCCCCGGCAACGGCGCCAGAAAAGAGCUUGAUGUCUACUACACAACCUUCUUCUUGUAGACGUUGUUGGGCCUCCAAG